CAGCAGCCGCGGUAACACGUAGGUGGCAAGCGUUGUCCGGAAUUAUUGGGCGUAAAGGGCUCGCAGGCGGUUUCUUAAGUCUGAUGUGAAAGCCCCCGGCUCAACCGGGGAGGGUCAUUGGAAACUGGGAAACUUGAGUGCAGAAGAGGAGAGUGGAAUUCCACGUGUAGCGGUGAAAUGCGUAGAGAUGUGGAGGAACACCAGUGGCGAAGGCGACUCUCUGGUCUGUAACUGACGCUGAGGAGCGAAAGCGUGGGGAGCGAACAGGAUUAGAGACCCGUGUAGUCCCUGUCUCUUAUAC
This 301-nucleotide ribosomal RNA is filed under the name uncultured bacterium. Its description in RNAcentral is "partial 16S ribosomal RNA". It matches the Rfam family "Bacterial small subunit ribosomal RNA", at positions 509 to 807 of the family's 1533-position model. The record is from RNAcentral.